GCAAUGGGCGAAAGCCUGAUGGAGCAAUACCGCGUGAGGGAAGAAGGACCGUGGUUUGUAAACCUCUUUUCUCAAGGAAGAAAUCAAUGACGGUACUUGAGGAAUAAGCACCGGCUAACUCUGUGCCAGCAGCCGCGGUAAUACAGGGGGUGCAAGCGUUGUCCGGAAUGAUUGGGCGUAAAGCAUCUGUAGGUGGUUUUUCAAGUCAACUGUCAAAUCCCAGAGCUCAACUUUGGACAAGCAGUUGAGUACUUAGAGACUCGAGUAUGGUAGGGGUAGAGGGAAUUCCUAGUGGAGCGGUGAAAUGCACAGAGAUUAGGAAGAACACCAGUGGCGAAAGCGCUCUGACUGGGCCAUGACUGACGCUGAGAGAUGAA
This 377-nucleotide ribosomal RNA is filed under the name Chroococcales cyanobacterium HM6. Its description in RNAcentral is "bacterial SSU rRNA". It matches the Rfam family "Bacterial small subunit ribosomal RNA", at positions 368 to 757 of the family's 1533-position model. The record is from RNAcentral. Lineage: Bacteria; Bacillati; Cyanobacteriota; Cyanophyceae; Chroococcales.